CACGUAGGGGGCAAGCGUUGUCCGGAUUUAUUGGGCGUAAAGAGCUCGUAGGUGGUUCGGUAAGUCAGGUGUGAAACCUCCAGGCUCAACCUGGAGACGCCACUUGAUACUGCUGUGACUGGAGUCCGGUAGGGGAGCGUGGAAUUCCUGGUGUAGCGGUGAAAUGCGCAGAUAUCGGGAGGAACACCGGUGGCGAAGGCGGUUCUCUGGGCCUGUACUGACGCUGAGGAGCGAAAGCGUGGGGAGCGAACAGG
This 254-nucleotide ribosomal RNA is filed under the name uncultured bacterium. RNAcentral's name for it is "partial 16S ribosomal RNA". It matches the Rfam family "Bacterial small subunit ribosomal RNA", at positions 524 to 776 of the family's 1533-position model. The record is from RNAcentral.